GUCUGUCCUUAGAGUCCCUCUGAGUCCUGGAGUGUAAAGAAGAACAGCUCCCACCAGUUCAUCUUCAACACAAACCAUGUUCCCUGCAUCUCUGCUGCUGCUGGCAGCUGCCUCCUGUGUCUACUGUGAUAUUGAACUCAUCCAGUCUGGUCCAGUGGUUAUAGAACCAGGAGUGUCUUUCAGCAUCUCCUGCAAAUUCUCUGGGUUUUCUAUAUCUUCUUAUUGUCUUGGAUGGAUACGACAAGCUGAAGGGAAAGCUUUGGAGCAUGUUGGUGUUACAUGCAGUAGUAGUACUUACACUGUAGACUCACUAAAGAGCAAGAUCACUUCUAGAUAUGACAGUUCCAGCAGUACAGUGUUUCUACAAGGGAACAACUUCCAGACUGAAGACACAGCUGUGUAUUAUUGUGCUCGGAGGACACAGUGA
Molecule: non-coding RNA, 427 nt
Organism: Oncorhynchus mykiss (rainbow trout)
Lineage: Eukaryota; Metazoa; Chordata; Actinopteri; Salmoniformes; Salmonidae
Source: the annotation of a RefSeq genome assembly